UCAUGACUGAGAGUUGUCCUUCAUGACAACAGAACCCACAACAACCAUGACUUUUAUCACCAUCUUCAUCUGGACACUUGUCUUCUACAUUGAAGAAUCCAGAGGACAGAUCACAGUGACUCAGACUCCUACAGUGAAAACUGUUCUCCCAGGAGAGAUAGUCUCUAUGAACUGUAAAGCCAGCAUUGAUGUGCAAACUAACUGUUGGAGUUCAGGUAAACCAUGUUUAGCCUGGUAUCAACAGAAACCUGGAGGAGCUCCUAAACUACUUAUUUACUAUACUACAACACUUCAGUCUGGGACUCCAUCUAGAUUCAGUGGCAAUGGAUCUGGGAGUGACUUCACUCUGAUCAUCAGUAGAGUCCAGGCUGAAGAUGCAGGAGAUUACUACUGUCAGAGUUAUAAACAUAUCAAUAGUAAACAUUUGUUCACACAGUGAUACAGAGCCAUACAAAAACCUCCCUCAUUCAGACUGCUCAGUGAUUGUGUUGCUACAGCUGGGACCUGCUGCAGGUGCUUCGGGGGAGAGAGUGAAAUGGAACACUGGUAACUAGAUGGUCAACUGUGAUGUGACAAUAUGGUUUGAAAUCAUUCAGAUCACAUGACCAUCAUCAUCUUCAUAAUCAUCAUGGUUGGUACCAUAGAAUGAACAAAAAUAUCAAUGCAACAUAUGAAGUGUUGGUCCCAUGUUUUAUGAGCUGAAAUAAAAGAUCCCAGAAAUG
This is a non-coding RNA of Oncorhynchus kisutch (coho salmon), 722 nucleotides long. NCBI's taxonomy places the organism in Eukaryota, Metazoa, Chordata, Actinopteri, Salmoniformes, Salmonidae. The record is from the annotation of a RefSeq genome assembly.